AUGUUUCCUCUUGCAUUUGGUUUUAUUGAGGUUGAGGAUGACGAUAAUUGGACAUGGUUCAUGACACAGUUGCAUAGAGCACUAGGUCCAAUUCCAAAGCUUGCUAUAAGUACCAAUGCAUGUAAAGGUUUAGAAAAUGCAGUUAAGAAAGUUUUCCCUCAAGCAGAACAAAGGGAGUGUUUUAGGCAUUUGAUGCAGAAUUUUUCCAAAAGAUAUUGCGGUGACAUAAUUGGCCGUAUGUGGGCUGCUGGAAAGACAUAUAGACCUUCAAUGUUUGAGUACCACUUCUCCAAGGUUCUAGAAUCAAGUCAAACUGUUGGUAAGUACUUACAUGAUUACCACAACUUGAAGUGGAUGAGGUCUAGUUUUGACACCAAAGUCAAGUGUGAUUACAUUCAUAACAACCUUGUCGAGUCCUUCAAUAAUUGGAUAAGAGGAAUCAAAGAUCUUCCUGUAGAUGGGCUAGCUGACACACUUAAUGGAAAGAUAAUGAAAUUAAUUGAAAAAAGAAGAAUGAUUGGGGAAAAGCUACAUGGAGAAAUGUUGCCAACAGUUGUACAACAAGUGAAUAAUAGAACAGGAGGGUUUGGGCACUUGAAAGUAACUAGAGCAAGUAACUGGAAAUUAUAA
Molecule: ribosomal RNA, 630 nt
Filed under: Triticum aestivum (bread wheat)
Lineage: Eukaryota; Viridiplantae; Streptophyta; Magnoliopsida; Poales; Poaceae
Description: partial small subunit ribosomal RNA
Source: RNAcentral